Long non-coding RNA from Epinephelus lanceolatus (giant grouper), 596 nucleotides. RefSeq lists it as uncharacterized. The record is from RefSeq and is a predicted model, not a curated record. Lineage: Eukaryota; Metazoa; Chordata; Actinopteri; Perciformes; Serranidae.
CGCCAACACUGAUGACGUCACGUCUGCGACAGAGCUGACGCUGCGCAGGACUGCGCAUGUGCGAGGCGGUCAGACCUGCUGCAGUCAUGUAGAGUAGUUUAUUCUCGGAGGGGAGAAGGUGUGGAUGUUCUUCCAGACGACUCCAGUACCAUCAGGGACACCGCAGGCUGCUGAUGAAUCCCUCCUCUGCACUAUGAAUGCCACAGCGCAGCACUAAAUAGUGCUUCAUUUGAAUGUUCUUCCUUUCUCAUCUACACUUCACCAUAACACAGUAAGCAGCCGUGCUGAAGGAUUGUGUUAUUUGGGAUGGCCAGGGUGGAAAAGAUUAUUCACCGCCUUUGGCAAUAAAAACUGCCGGAGGAGAACUGGGGAGAAUUAUGACAGCAAUCCUUUAGUUUUUCGUUUGUGGAGGCUGUUGUUUUUUUUUUUUUUUUUGAUGCAAAGAGGAUAAAGAGACCUUGAGGUGAAAAACAACAGCAAAUCCAAUUUGUCACGUUCACAAGUGUAAACACCAGCUGCAUUUCUGUUGAUUACUCAUAUGUAAAAUUAUAUCAAACUGGAUUUUAUUACUCAUUACUUGCUGUUUAUUGCAGGCU